This 213-nucleotide ribosomal RNA is filed under the name Triticum aestivum (bread wheat). Its description in RNAcentral is "partial small subunit ribosomal RNA". The record is from RNAcentral. Lineage: Eukaryota; Viridiplantae; Streptophyta; Magnoliopsida; Poales; Poaceae.
AUGAUUUUUGGAAAAAAUAAAGAGCAAACUAUAAAGCAGCGGACACUGUGGCUCAUGGGGAUCGCGGGAUCCAUGGCCUACAACUGGUCCAGGCUCGCCAUGAAGACCAACGUCAAGCUCAUCCAUGCCAGGUUUAUACAUUUUCAAUGUUCUCUGCCUUGUUAUUCAUAUCCCUGCUUCCUUUCAAGGAUGCAAUGUUCCUACUUUCCCUGA